This 463-nucleotide ribosomal RNA is filed under the name uncultured bacterium. RNAcentral's name for it is "partial 16S ribosomal RNA". It matches the Rfam family "Bacterial small subunit ribosomal RNA", at positions 29 to 507 of the family's 1533-position model. The record is from RNAcentral.
ACGCACGCUGGCGGCGUGCUUAACACAUGCAAGUCGAACGGUAAGGCCCUUUCGGGGGUACCCGAGUGGCGAACGGGUGAGUAACACGUGGGUGAUCUGCCCUGCACUUUGGGAUAAGCCUGGGAAACUGGGUCUAAUACCGGAUAGGACUACGCGAUGCAUGUCGUGUGGUGGAAAGCUUUUGCGGUGUGGGAUGGGCCCGCGGCCUAUCAGCUUGUUGGUGGGGUGAUGGCCUACCAAGGCGACGACGGGUAGCCGGCCUGAGAGGGUGUCCGGCCACACUGGGACUGAGAUACGGCCCAGACUCCUACGGGAGGCAGCAGUGGGGAAUAUUGCACAAUGGGCGCAAGCCUGAUGCAGCGACGCCGCGUGGGGGAUGACGGCCUUCGGGUUGUAAACCCCUUUCAGCACAGACGAAGCGUAAGUGACGGUAUGUGCAGAAGAAGCACCGGCCAACUACGUG